RNAcentral lists this non-coding RNA (27 nucleotides) under Bombyx mori (domestic silkworm). The record is from RNAcentral. Lineage: Eukaryota; Metazoa; Arthropoda; Insecta; Lepidoptera; Bombycidae.
UAAGUAAACAAUAGGUAAUAAUAGGAC